RNAcentral lists this ribosomal RNA (480 nucleotides) under uncultured bacterium. RNAcentral describes it as "bacterial SSU rRNA". It matches the Rfam family "Bacterial small subunit ribosomal RNA", at positions 163 to 657 of the family's 1533-position model. The record is from RNAcentral.
CUAAUACCGGAUAACACUCCUGCCUGCAUGGGUGGGGGUUGAAAGCUCCGGCGGUGAAGGAUGAGCCCGCGGCCUAUCAGCUUGUUGGUGGGGUAAUGGCCUACCAAGGCGACGACGGGUAGCCGGCCUGAGAGGGCGACCGGCCACACUGGGACUGAGACACGGCCCAGACUCCUACGGGAGGCAGCAGUGGGGAAUAUUGCACAAUGGGCGAAAGCCUGAUGCAGCGACGCCGCGUGAGGGAUGACGGCCUUCGGGUUGUAAACCUCUUUCAGCAGGGAAGAAGCGCAAGUGACGGUACCUGCAGAAGAAGCGCCGGCUAACUACGUGCCAGCAGCCGCGGUAAUACGUAGGGCGCAAGCGUUGUCCGGAAUUAUUGGGCGUAAAGAGCUCGUAGGCGGCUUGUCACGUCGGAUGUGAAAGCCCGGGGCUUAACCCCGGGUCUGCAUUCGAUACGGGCUAGCUAGARUGUGGUAGGGG